CAAGUGAGGAAGGCCACAAAAGCUAAAGUUUUCUUAGGGUGUGUUUGAGCAGGGCAGGAAAAGGCAAGGAGGAGGCCUGUAGGAGGAAGACAGGAGCCAAAAAUGUAGGUGUCUGCAGAUUUGGGACAGGGGGUGGGGAAUAGUCACUCCAGGAGGAAGGAAAAGACAAAAAGAGCACCAGGACAUUUCCCAAAGCAGUAGUGUUUGCAACUCUGCCUAACUGCUGACUCGGAGCUAGGGGAUGAAAUGGAAAGCAGACUCUUGUCUCUAAAAGCAGCUUGGAAAACUGGUUCUCUAAACUUUGUAAAAGGCACUACCCUGUGAUUUCCUGGUUAGAAUACUUGGCUUUUGCCUUCUCCCAUCUGGAUGCACCAGGAGAGGGAAUGGGACUGGGGAAAUCAAAGGUUCUACUUUGGGAUGAGAAAGGGAGUGGCCUCUGGCCUCCGGCCCCCACUUCUUCCAGGCAAGGCUAAGUCAGGCCAGCUUUGCCUCUAGGAACAAUACGAGAGCCCAGAAGGUGCCCAGCAAGCCUCGGGCCGGCUGCAGGAGAAGCGGACAUGGGGCUGAGCUGGAGGUGGAGGAGUGUUCCAGAGACAACAGCAGACCCCUCCCCUCCUCAAGCCUCCUCAACCCUUUGUGGUCCCUCUGGCUACAGAAGGCAGUGGGGCAUAAUGGGGUGGGAGUGAAAAGAAGGACCGAGAAGCAAGAAAACGAACCUGGAGAAAAUCUCAGAGGAUAUGCACCCCCAAAUGCGGUAGGAGAUGGAGUGGGGGCUUCUUAAUUCUGGAGUACAGAGCCCAUUUGGAAUGCUUGGGAGGCAAUUAGAUCCCAGUUUGGUUUCUUUCUUGCCUUUUUUCUUCCUCUUUCGGAGGUCUCUGGCAAGCAAGCAAGCUGCCCCCUGAUUAGGGCUGGAAGGCUGGAAGAUGGAGGGUAUGACAGGCACCCCUGAGGGGCCCAGGUUUGACUGAGGUAUUGCGGCUGGCCAGGGGCUUUUCAAACUUCAGGGAACAAAGGCUGGUAGUGAGGAGUUUGGGCAGGGAACUUGGGGUGGGAGACACCAGAGCAGUCUGAGGGAAGACUUUGGGGUCUGGGAAAAGAGAAGCGGGAGAAGGGCUUAUCAUCACUGACAGUGAAGUCGUGAUUUAGGAGCGAACUGGAGAUACAGAAGAAGGAACAAUUUCUUCUUGGAUUCGGGAGGGAAACCUGGGAAACUGUGUGUGUGUACCCACAUGUGUGGGGGGUGUAUGUGUGUGUGUAAGAGAGAGAGAAAGGAGGAGAAAGAA
Molecule: long non-coding RNA, 1283 nt
Organism: Cebus imitator (Panamanian white-faced capuchin)
Lineage: Eukaryota; Metazoa; Chordata; Mammalia; Primates; Cebidae
Exons: 3
Source: RefSeq, a predicted model, not a curated record